AGCUCUUUCUCUUUGUCGCCGCGGCAAAUACGCCCGAUGUUCCCGGUCGACACUGCACCUGCCGACAGUGAAACAAUUUCCACGAUCCUGUUACACGGAAAGACAAUAUGUCCGAACGAGGCUUGACUUGGAAUUUUCUUGUGGACGUGUCAUUGCCAUCACGGACCUGGUUCAAAUUGCCCACGCUCAUGGUGGACGUGACGCAAGGCGGCAUCACCGAC
Molecule: long non-coding RNA, 221 nt
Organism: Vollenhovia emeryi
Lineage: Eukaryota; Metazoa; Arthropoda; Insecta; Hymenoptera; Formicidae
Exons: 3
Source: RefSeq, a predicted model, not a curated record